ACAGACUGAAAAUUACCUUUGGCGUUCUCAGUAGCCUUUGGUGAGAUACCUGUGCCUAUAUUGAUCUGGAGCAUUAAGCUUAUUACCCACCUUUAAUUAAAAUGUGGACGUAAUGAAACCCAUGCUCCUACACCG
Non-coding RNA from Pelobates cultripes (western spadefoot toad), 135 nucleotides. NCBI's taxonomy places the organism in Eukaryota, Metazoa, Chordata, Amphibia, Anura, Pelobatidae. The record is from the annotation of a GenBank genome assembly.